GUUGUGGUGCUAUGAGUUUUUAUUUUGUUUUUAUGUUGUUUUUUGUAAAAUGUUUUGAUUUUUUUUAGUUUCUUGUGGUAUCAAAAAUUUGUUUUUUGAACUGGAUUAGUACCCAGGUAAUCAAAAUUUAAUAAUUCGGGAGUAAAGUUUUGUUUAAACCGAAAAAAUAUUGACUGACUUUAGAUUUUUCUUUGGAAUAUGUGAUUUGCUGGAGAGCCCUCUUUUUUGGUGAAUUUUGUUGGCACAUGUAUGAUUGUUUAGUUUUUAUUUUAUUUUGUAAUGCUUUGUUGUUUUGGCAUUAAAAACAGAUAUAUAUUUGGCUUAUGAAUUUAUGUUUCAUGUGUUACUAUUAUGAAUUUUUUUUGGAUUAGUUUUUUAUUUUUUUUUGAAAUUGGAAAAGAAAGUAAUUUUUUCU
This 415-nucleotide ribosomal RNA is filed under the name Onchocerca sp. 'Siisa'. Its description in RNAcentral is "partial 12S ribosomal RNA". Lineage: Eukaryota; Metazoa; Nematoda; Chromadorea; Rhabditida; Onchocercidae. The record is from RNAcentral.